This 440-nucleotide ribosomal RNA is filed under the name uncultured bacterium. Its description in RNAcentral is "partial 16S ribosomal RNA". It matches the Rfam family "Bacterial small subunit ribosomal RNA", at positions 338 to 795 of the family's 1533-position model. The record is from RNAcentral.
CCUACGGGUGGCAGCAGUGGGGAAUAUUGCACAAUGGGGGAAACCCUGAUGCAGCAACGCCGCGUGAAGGAAGACGGUUUUCGGAUUGUAAACUUCUGUUCUUAGUGAAGAAUAAUGACGGUAGCUAAGGAGCAAGCCACGGCUAACUACGUGCCAGCAGCCGCGGUAAUACAUAGGGGGCUAGCGUUAUCCGGAAUUACUGGGCGUAAAGGGUGCGUAGGUGGUUUCUUAAGUCAGAGGUGAAAGGCUACGGCUCAACCGUAGUAAGCCUUUGAAACUGGGAAACUUGAGUGCAGGAGAGGAGAGUGGAAUGCCUAGUGUAGCGGUGAAAUGCGUAGAUAUUAGGAGGAACACCAGUUGCGAAGGCGGCUCUCUGGACUGUAACUGACACUGAGGCACGAAAGCGUGGGGAGCAAACAGGAUUAGAUACCCCAGUAGUC